This 72-nucleotide transfer RNA is filed under the name Camponotus floridanus (Florida carpenter ant). It matches the Rfam family "tRNA". Rfam says of the family: Transfer RNA (tRNA) molecules are approximately 80 nucleotides in length. Their secondary structure includes four short double-helical elements and three loops (D, anti-codon, and T loops). Lineage: Eukaryota; Metazoa; Arthropoda; Insecta; Hymenoptera; Formicidae. The record is from Rfam by way of RNAcentral.
GCUUGGAUAGCUCAGUGGUCUAAAGCAGUUGCCCGGAAAGCGAAGCGUCGGGUUCGAUUCCCGAUCCAGCCA